GGACGAACGCUGGCGGCGUGCCUAAUACAUGCAAGUCGAGCGGACGAAUCGAAAGCUUGCUUUUGAUUCGUUAGCGGCGGCCGGGUGAGUAACACGUGGGCAACCUGCCCUGUAGACGGGGAUAACACCGAGAAAUCGGUGCUAAUACCGGAUAACACGAAAUGUCGCAUGACGUUUCGUUGAAAGACGGCGCAAGCUGCCGCUACAGGAUGGGCCCGCGGCGCAUUAGCUAGUUGGUGAGGUAACGGCUCACCAAGGCGACGAUACGUAGCCGACCUGAGAGGGUGAUCGGCCACACUGGGACUGAGACACGGCCCAGACUCCUACGGGAGGCAGCAGUAGGGAAUCUUCCGUAAUGGACGAAAGUCUGACGGAGCAACGCCGCGUGAGCGAAGAAGGCCUUCGGGUCGUAAAGCUCUGUUGUUAGGGAAGAACAAGUAACGCAGUAACUGGCGUUACCGUGACGGUACCUAACGAGAAAGCCACGGCUAACUACGUG
This 499-nucleotide ribosomal RNA is filed under the name uncultured bacterium. RNAcentral describes it as "partial 16S ribosomal RNA". It matches the Rfam family "Bacterial small subunit ribosomal RNA", at positions 27 to 507 of the family's 1533-position model. The record is from RNAcentral.